Long non-coding RNA from Hemibagrus wyckioides, 2783 nucleotides. RefSeq lists it as uncharacterized. The record is from RefSeq and is a predicted model, not a curated record. NCBI's taxonomy places the organism in Eukaryota, Metazoa, Chordata, Actinopteri, Siluriformes, Bagridae. The transcript is spliced from 5 exons.
AGAAAUUCUGUUAUACAUACACACACACACAGAGAGAGAGAGAGAGAGAGAGAGAGGAGAGAGAGAGAGAUUAUUUAUUUAUUUAUUUAUUUAUUUAUUCACUUAUUUAUUUUCCUUUCGUUUCUUUCUUGAAGCUUUGGCAAUAUUGUGUUCUUACAAUCACGGCAAAAAAAAAAAAAAAAGAGGCAGAGAAUCAUUUCUAAUAUUCUGUUAUUCUUUUGAUGAAAACAGAACAACUUAUACCACUUAUCUCUCUCUCACACACACACACACACACACAGAUCUUACAGUGGUCUGCAGGCCGGAGAUCUGAGUGGAGUGGAAGGUAAAACCCUCUGGUUUCUCUCUCGGACGUGAUGACUCGAUAGAUCUUUCCUGCAGUAGCUUUGACUCCUGCAGAAAACCCAAAGACAGAAAUACUCUACACACUGCCUGGAUAUGUGCUAUUAGAUUAGAUUAGAUUAGAUUAGAUUAGAUUAGAUUAGAUUAGAUUAGAUUAGAUUAGAAUUAAGGAGUUUCACAGCAAUGGGAGUGGACACUAACCCAAUAUUUUGAUGAAAAUGUGGCAAACAAUAUUGAUUUUUCUCAGCAUGUGUAUAAUAUUACCAGUUUUGUGUAUAUCCAUGACAUAUAAUCAGUUCGGGGGGGGGGGCAAAUACUUAUGCAGCACAUUGAUCUUUUAUUUAUACUGAUCAGCCAUAACAUUAUGACCGAUGACAGGUGAAGUGAAUAAGACUGAUGAUCUCCUCAUCAUGGCACCUGUUAGUGGGUGGGAUAUAUUAGGCAGCAAGUGAACAUUUUGUCCUCAAAGUUGAUGUUAGAAGCAGGAAAAAUGGACAAGCGUAAGGAUUUGAGCGAGUUUGACGAAGGGCCAAAUUGUGACGGCCAGACUACUGGAUCAGGGCAUCUCCAAAACUGCAGCUCUUGUGGGGGUGUUCCCGGUCUGCAGUGGUCAGUAUCUAUCAAAAUUUUCCUUUAAUUCCUGUACAUCUUGGUGCCAGAUACCACAGCACACCUUCCUGGACCUAGUGGAGUCCAUGGGGGACCAACACAAUAUUAGGCAGGUGGUCAUAAUGUUAUGCCUGCUCGGUAAAUAUAUUAUUUCAUGCACCUGUGUAUGCUAUUGUCCUCUGAUGUACAGUGUAAUGAAUUCGGUCACCAGUACGCCAGUACACUGUCACUUCCCAGUCAGUACCCUGAAUUACACACACCUUCAAGAUCUUGUAGUUGGACGUCUUAGCAACAUAAUGCUCCCAGGAUUUGGCUGUAAGCUCUUGCUGCUUGUGGUUUAAGCUGAUCUGCAUGACAACAACAAACAACAAUAAUCAGUCCCGAUCUGUCAGUGUGACGGACAUGUGAAUAAAUGUAAAUAAUCAUUCUUCACCUCUUCGUAUGCAUGUUUCUCCUGGUGAAGGUCUUCCUGCUCUUUCUGGUCCACAACGCUCUGCUGCAAUGAAGAGACGUGUUUGACUUUGUCUUCACUUGUCCGGGCGAUGGCGCCGAUAGCCUCUGCGUCCGGAGUGACCGGUCUCACACCUUCCAGCUCCAGCUCAGCCGUGACUUCGUUCCACACCUCGGCUACCUUCUGCAGAAGAAAGCAUAGAUUUUGGCACGCAGGUUUUCAGAGACGUCUGUAACAGCAGGGCUUGGUGUGUUUGCCGGUAUGGACUCCAGAGGCUCCUGUUCCUGAUACAUGAGUUGCAGCAGCAGGGCCGGAGCAGUGAGUUCUUUGUCGCCCCUCCAGGCCUCGACGUGUGCUAGAGUUUUGGGGUUGUCGCACAGCUCCAGCAGUGUCGCCAGCGCUACAUUAUGCAUGCUCCUGGGGCUCGACUGUCAAUAAAGUGAACGACGAGAGCCGCGAAUGCAUCGUUGCUACUGAUCAAUCUGGAAAUCUCAGCUUAUUGUAUUUAUAUGUUGCUUACCUGGAUGAAGUCAAGUAAGAGAAAUGCUCCUUCCUUCUCCAGAAACAAAUCCUCUGUGGUGUAACAGCCGACAAUGCAGGACCUGCACGAUAUACAGCAUCAUCAUUGACAAAUUCUACUAUAAAUUUUAUUACGAUAUUUCUGAUCCUCAUCUGAUUAUUUCUGCAUACUGCCAGUCAUAUAACAACUUACACCAAGUGCGUUACGUUUAUUAGAACACGUUAUUUAGAGAGGAUAUCUGCAGUACGGAGGAGUAACUCACCACACACAGUCCACAGCGGAGAGAACAAGUCUGUUGUGUCCCAGGCCGCUGUACAACUGAGCCGGAGGCUGGACAGAGUGACCAGCACAUCGGUCUGGAUCUCCAGAGACACUGCGUCCUCUUCCUCGUUCCUCUCCUGGAAUCGUCUCAGUAAGCCUGAGCACCGUAAAACAUAGAAUAGAGAAUAUCUGUAUGAUCUCCAUGAACUAGGUGCACUUAUAACUGUCCUAGCUCACAAACUAGAAUCUAUCAAUUCUUUAUGUCAAAAGAUUUGUAUCUGUUCUAUGAGCUAUAAUGUAAUAACAUAUUUUCUAGCAUAAGAUGUUCCUUCAUUUUGGAUCUACACAUCCAGAGCUGCUUUCCUAUCAAUUGAUGGCAUGUACUGUAUAUGGAUGUUAAGUGAAUUCACGGAAAUCUUGGAUUAAAAAAAAUAUUUUAAUUUCAGCUUGAAUGAAAUAGAAAGUAGAAAAAUGUUCAGAUUUGUAAACUUAAUGGUAGGUAAUUUUUAGGUAGCUAGUUGUUGUUCCCUUGCGUAAAGUGAAUUUGUUUACGAGAUAAUAAGAUGUGAGCUAUAAGAUAAACUCUAUGAUCACCGAUGA